This 254-nucleotide ribosomal RNA is filed under the name uncultured bacterium. RNAcentral's name for it is "partial 16S ribosomal RNA". It matches the Rfam family "Bacterial small subunit ribosomal RNA", at positions 524 to 776 of the family's 1533-position model. The record is from RNAcentral.
CACGUAGGCCCCAAGCGUUGUCCGGAUUUAUUGGGCGUAAAGAGCUCGUAGGCGGUUCAGUAAGUCAGGUGUGAAAUCUUUGGGCUUAACCCAAAGCGUGCACUUGAUACUGCUGUGACUUGAGUUCGGUAGGGGAGUGGGGAAUUCCUAGUGUAGCGGUGAAAUGCGCAGAUAUUAGGAGGAACACCGGUGGCGAAGGCGCCACUCUGGGCCGAAACUGACGCUGAGGAGCGAAAGCGUGGGUAGCAAACAGG